GUACAGCCAUCGGGCUUGUACCGGUACAGAGCCGCAGACCCCGCGACCCGAGCCUCGGGUUUGCAUUUUCGUGGGCCUUUUACCGGUACAAGAGCCCGUGUACCGGUACAAGGAGGCAGAUUUCGUGCAGUUUGAACUGCAGGGGUGUUUUUGCUUUUGUAGCCUCUCUAUUAGUACCCCACGCCCCUUAGGGCUUCUCCUAAGCUCAGAUCACAGAGAGGGCAAGGUAGGGCACCCCUCUUCUCCUUCCCCCUUGGAUUUGAUCCCAUUCUCUUGGAUUUUGGAGGAUUAAACCCUCUUUUUGCUCUUUUUGCUUGUUGGAAGCUUUUCCUCCAUGGGAGCUUGACCUUGGAGCUUGGGGAGAGGGAGAUCUCCACACUUUGAGGAUUUUGAAUCUUGUUUGAAGCUUCUAAAAGGUUAGUAGCUCAUCCUUUUCCUCUAAAUUGAAGUUUUACCGUUGGAUUUGAGAUGAAACCUUAGAUUGUGAUAUUAGGGUUUAUUUUGGGUAUUUUGAAUCUAGGGCUUUUGAAGCUAGAUUGAUUGGUUUAGAGGCUUCCAUUAGGUGGGAUUGGAUGGACUCUAGCUCUCUUUCGGAGCUUUAGAGGAGAUUUUGCACUAGAGGUGAGUUUUCCUCCACCUAUGCUUGAAUAGCUUAAAGAUUGAACUUAGCGUCGUUCGUUUCGACUAGAUGACA
Molecule: long non-coding RNA, 694 nt
Filed under: Ananas comosus (pineapple)
Lineage: Eukaryota; Viridiplantae; Streptophyta; Magnoliopsida; Poales; Bromeliaceae
Description: long non-coding RNA (ACOM_LNC036232)
Source: RNAcentral